Molecule: transfer RNA, 66 nt
Filed under: Pongo abelii (Sumatran orangutan)
Lineage: Eukaryota; Metazoa; Chordata; Mammalia; Primates; Hominidae
Rfam family: tRNA
About the family: Transfer RNA (tRNA) molecules are approximately 80 nucleotides in length. Their secondary structure includes four short double-helical elements and three loops (D, anti-codon, and T loops).
Source: Rfam by way of RNAcentral
GGUAAAAUGGCUGAGCAAGCAGUAAACUGUAACUCUAAAGACAGAGGUUAAGACCUCUUUUUACCA